This 500-nucleotide ribosomal RNA is filed under the name uncultured bacterium. RNAcentral describes it as "partial 16S ribosomal RNA". It matches the Rfam family "Bacterial small subunit ribosomal RNA", at positions 30 to 523 of the family's 1533-position model. The record is from RNAcentral.
AUUGAACGCUGGCGGAAUGCUUUACACAUGCAAGUCGAACGGCAGCACGGACUUCGGUCUGGUGGCGAGUGGCGAACGGGUGAGUAAUGUAUCGGAACGUGCCCAGUCGUGGGGGAUAACGUAGUGAAAAUUACGCUAAUACCGCAUACGAUCUAUGGUUGAAAGCGGGGGAUCGCAAGACCUCGCGCGAUUGGAGCGGCCGAUAUCAGAUUAGGUAGUUGGUGGGGUAAAGGCCCACCAAGCCAACGAUCUGUAGCUGGUCUGAGAGGACGACCAGCCACACGGUAACUGAGACACGGUCCAGACUCCUACGGGAGGCAGCAGUUGGGAAUUUUGGACAAGGGGCGAAAGCCUGAUCCAGCCAUUCCGCGUGCAGGAUGAAGGCCCUCGGGUUGUAAACUGCUUUUGUACAGAACGAAAAGGUUUCUACUAAUACUAGGAGCUCAUGACGGUACUGUAAGAAUAAGCACCGGCUAACUACGUGCCAGCAGCCGCCGCGG